This 482-nucleotide ribosomal RNA is filed under the name uncultured bacterium. RNAcentral's name for it is "bacterial SSU rRNA". It matches the Rfam family "Bacterial small subunit ribosomal RNA", at positions 29 to 506 of the family's 1533-position model. The record is from RNAcentral.
UUGAACGCUGGCGGAAUGCUUUACACAUGCAAGUCGAGCGGCAGCGCGGGGGCAACCCUGGCGGCGAGCGGCGAACGGGUGAGUAACACAUCGGAACGUACCCAGUUGUGGGGGAUAGCCCGGCGAAAGCCGGAUUAAUACCGCAUACGACCUGAGGGUGAAAGGGGGGGAUCGCAAGACCUCUCGCAGUUGGAGCGGCCGAUGGCGGAUUAGCUAGUUGGUGGGGUAAAGGCCUACCAAGGCGACGAUCCGUAGCUGGUCUGAGAGGACGACCAGCCACACUGGAACUGAGACACGGUCCAGACUCCUACGGGAGGCAGCAGUGGGGAAUUUUGGACAAUGGGGGCAACCCUGAUCCAGCCAUUCCGCGUGAGUGAAGAAGGCCUUCGGGUUGUAAAGCUCUUUCAGACGGAAAGAAAUCGGGCGCGUGAAUAGCGUGCCUGGAUGACGGUACUGUCAGAAGAAGCACCGGCUAACUACGU